Molecule: ribosomal RNA, 254 nt
Filed under: uncultured bacterium
Lineage: Bacteria
Description: partial 16S ribosomal RNA
Rfam family: Bacterial small subunit ribosomal RNA
Source: RNAcentral
UACGUAGGGUGCGAGCGUUGUCCGGAAUUAUUGGGCGUAAAGAGCUCGUAGGCGGUGUGUCACGUCGGCCGUGAAAACCUGCAGCUUAACUGUGGGCGUGCGGUCGAUACGGGCAUCACUGGAGUUCGGCAGGGGAGACUGGAGUUCCUGGUGUAGCGGUGAAAUGCGCAGAUAUCAGGAGGAACACCGGUGGCGAAGGCGGGUCUCUGGGCAGUAACUGACGCUGAGGAGCGAAAGCGUGGGGAGCGAACAGG